UACGUAGGGGGCAAGCGUUAUCCGGAUUUACUGGGUGUAAAGGGAGCGUAGGUGGCAAGGCAAGUCAGAUGUGAAAGCCCGGGGCUCAACCCCGGUAUUGCAUUUGAAACUGUCUAGCUAGAGUGCAGGAGAGGUAAGCGGAAUUCCUAGUGUAGCGGUGAAAUGCGUAGAUAUUAGGAGGAACACCAGUGGCGAAGGCGGCUUACUGGACUGUAACUGACACUGAGGCUCGAAAGCGUGGGGAGCAAACAGG
Molecule: ribosomal RNA, 253 nt
Filed under: uncultured bacterium
Lineage: Bacteria
Description: partial 16S ribosomal RNA
Rfam family: Bacterial small subunit ribosomal RNA
Source: RNAcentral